AAGCAUGUAGUACCGAGGACGUAGGAAUUUCGGACGCGGGUUCAACUCCCGCCAGCUCCACCA
RNAcentral lists this transfer-messenger RNA (63 nucleotides) under Escherichia coli. Its description in RNAcentral is "partial transfer-messenger RNA". It matches the Rfam family "transfer-messenger RNA", at positions 310 to 374 of the family's 374-position model. Rfam says of the family: Bacterial tmRNA, also known as 10Sa RNA or SsrA, is named for its dual tRNA and mRNA-like properties. Its role is to liberate the mRNA from a stalled ribosome. The record is from RNAcentral. Lineage: Bacteria; Pseudomonadati; Pseudomonadota; Gammaproteobacteria; Enterobacterales; Enterobacteriaceae.